AUUACAUUUCGCAGUCUCUCGUUCUAAGGCGUUGGUGCUGUGCUGUUCUUGUUUGUAUAGAAGCAAUUUGUAAGCUUGAUCUUCGACGUUCGAAAAUCGUAAAUCUAUAAGAUGGAGAAAAUCGUCAUUUUGUCAUUUCUGUUCCUUGCUUGUGUUGUGCUUGAGUCAUUGUCACAAAGCCCUUCAACUCCUGCUCCAGGAGCCAGUGUCACACCUAAUACAACAGUGAUGCCAGGGACGUCCACUCCUGCUCCGGGAGGAGAGAAUAUGACCACAACAACUGAGGCACCAGCUAAAACUGCAACACCAACAAGCGGAGUUGUUAAUGUGAAAGCCCUUGCUGGAUUUGUCGCCUCCUUCGCUUUGAUUGCAUUGUUCUGAUCAAGCUGUGCAGAGCCAAGUUCUGAUGCCUUGUGUUUGAGUGAUUUUUUUUUUACACUUGUUAAUUUCACAGCCAAAGACUUAAGUUAGCAUAUGUUGAACUCCAUUUGCAUGAAAGGGAAGCCUGGAAGUCACCUCCUAAUCUAGACUUAAUUUGUCGCUUGUCAACAUGCAGUUAAGGCGAUGAGAUGAGUUAGAACAUUGUCUGCAUUAGAGGCGAGAUUGAAGUUCGAGACAUGUGCAGCUGUUUGAACUGGAAUUUGCAGUAUUUUACAAACUUGUAUAUUUCUGAGAAGGUUAAUAUGUCCUUUUCUAUCCGCCUAUCUAUUGUGUAUUGCGCAUGGUUAGAAUUAUAGCUACUGUUUCAAUUUUAAUGUCGGUUAUUUUUUAUAGAAAACUAGCAAAGUGUAGUUGAAAAUAAAGCUGUAAUAAUAUUGUCCUAGUAUAAGAAAAAGACAAGUUGUCCUGUGUGGUUACAUAAAAGUAAAAAAUCUUGUGUUUGCACAA
Molecule: long non-coding RNA, 888 nt
Organism: Orbicella faveolata
Lineage: Eukaryota; Metazoa; Cnidaria; Anthozoa; Scleractinia; Merulinidae
Source: RefSeq, a predicted model, not a curated record